UACGUAGGUGGCGAGCGUUGUCCGGAAUUACUGGGCGUAAAGGGCGCGUAGGCGGCUCUUUAAGUCAGAUGUGAAAACCCAGGGCUUAACUUUGGGAGUGCAUUUGAAACUGAAGGGCUUGAGUGCAGGAGAGGUAAGUGGAAUUCCUAGUGUAGCGGUGAAAUGCGUAGAUAUUAGGAGGAACACCAGUGGCGAAGGCGACUUACUGGACUGUAACUGACGCUGAGGCGCGAAAGCGUGGGGAGCAAACAGG
Molecule: ribosomal RNA, 253 nt
Filed under: uncultured bacterium
Lineage: Bacteria
Description: partial 16S ribosomal RNA
Rfam family: Bacterial small subunit ribosomal RNA
Source: RNAcentral